CACGUAGUUAGUCGUGGCUUUCUCAUAAGGUACCGUCAAUUGAUAGUCAUUUCCUCCUAUCACCUUUCUUCCCUUAUAACAGAAUUUUACAACCCGAAGGCCUUCUUCAUUCACGCGGCGUUGCUCGGUCAGGCUUUCGCCCAUUGCCGAAGAUUCCCUACUGCUGCCUCCCGUAGGAGUCUGGGCCGUGUCUCAGUCCCAGUGUGGCCGUUCACCCUCUCAGGUCGGCUACGCAUCGUCGCCUUGGUAGGCCUUUACCCCACCAACUAGCUAAUGCGCCGCAGGCUCAUCCAUCAGUGAUGCCAGGAGCAUCUUUAAACUUUCGUCCUAUCCGGUAUUAGCGAUCGUUUCCAAUCGUUGUCCCCGUCUGAUGGGCAGAUCACCUACGUGUUACUCACCCGUUCGCCGCUUCCCACCGAAGUGGUUCGCUCGACUUGCAUGUAUUAGGCACGCCGCCAGCGUUCAUCCUGAGCCAGGAUCAAACUCU
This 487-nucleotide ribosomal RNA is filed under the name uncultured Turicibacter sp. Its description in RNAcentral is "partial 16S ribosomal RNA". The record is from RNAcentral. Lineage: Bacteria; Bacillati; Bacillota; Erysipelotrichia; Erysipelotrichales; Turicibacteraceae.